RNAcentral lists this ribosomal RNA (460 nucleotides) under uncultured bacterium. RNAcentral describes it as "partial 16S ribosomal RNA". It matches the Rfam family "Bacterial small subunit ribosomal RNA", at positions 338 to 795 of the family's 1533-position model. The record is from RNAcentral.
CCUACGGGGAGCAGCAGUGAGGAAUAUUGGUCAAUGGACGAGAGUCUGAACCAGCCAAGUAGCGUGAAGGAUGACUGCACUAUGGGUUGUAAACUUCUUUUAUAUGGGAAUAAAACGUUCCACGUGUGGGAUUUUGUAUGUACCAUAUGACUACGGAUCGGCUAACUCCGUGCGAGCAGCCGCGGUAAUACGGAGGAUCCGAGCGUUAUCCGGAUUUAUUGGGUGUAAAGGGAGCGUAGGUGGAUUGUUAAGUCAGUUGUGAAAGUUUGCGGCUCAACCGUAAAAUUGCAGUUGAAACUGGCAGUCUUGAGUACAGUAGAGGUAGGCGGAAUUCGUGGUGUAGCGGGGAAAUGCUUAGAUAUCACGAAGAACUCCGAUUGCGAAGGCAGUUCACUGGACUGCAACUGACACUGAGGCUCGAAAGUGUGGGUGUCAAACAGGAUUAGAUACCCCAGUAGUC